GCAUGCGCGACUGAACGAAUCACUCCCUGAGACGACUCGUUCUUCCCGAGUCACAUUAAAGAUUCGUUCAAAAUGAACGAAUCGUUCAAGAACGACCCAUCACUAGUGUCAGUGUGCCGCUGCUGCUCGGCUUCUGCAGUCGCUCCUCAAGUAAUGACUUUUAUAUGUAUUAUCUGAGUGUUAAAUUCAUAUUUUGAGUGAGUUUGUGUUGUGGGAUGACGAUUGAGAACGAAUAAACGCGAAUAUGGACACUUCUACCAGCAGCUAACAGACAAGCAAACUGCAAAAGAGAGGACCUGAACGCAUGAUCCUUGGAGAAGAACACUGGAUGCAAACCAGGAUUUUGGAUCAGCUGUGAAGAUUUUGUAUGGAGCUGAAGUUUUGAAAAUCUUCUACCAUAUGAUCUUCAGAGGAACUAAUCCAGCUGAUUACUGGCAAUUUGGAGGAGAACUGCUCUUUAUCUGCUGUGUCUGUCACUUCUGGCCAUGGACCUUUUGUUGACUAAAUACACACUCCCAGAUGCAGAACUGAGUUCAGAAACUCUUAUUGGCGUUUCUAAACAUCUGGGCAACUUGAAGUACCAAGUGUGGGAGAAGAUGAAGGACAUCUGCCCUCACUGAAUCGUGUGGUGUUGGGGAGCGUGGGAUACAAUUAUGAAGUUCACACGUGGGAAAUUGAGAUGGGAAACAGUCGCCAUUGGAGCCUUGGAGUGUGUUUUGGAUUGGAGGGAAAACCUACCACACAGUCUUUAACCCCAGAAAAUGGCUUCUGGGGCCUCAGACGUGAUGGAGACGAAUUGAUGACCGCUGGGAUGUCAAGAUUAAAGAUGAAGGUAAAGCCAAAGGUAGUGAGAGUAAAGCUUGAGUAUGUUUAUCAGGAUGCUCAUGUUUAUCAGAAACGUUGGAAGAAGGUGAAGUUUUUUGAUGCCGGAGUGAUUCCCUUAUCAAGGAAUUUUAUGUGCCAUUGACGAAGAAACUCUUUCCCUUUGUGAUCCCAGAAGAGCCCUCCGUCCCUCUGCGUGUUGUCCCAGCAAAUGUUAUUCUGACGGUUGAACAGAAACUAUCUUUCCUUGAGAGGCAUUUCACUAUUAUUUUAAUCUGUAUGUGUUUUGUUGUACUUAUAAUAUACCUGAUUCUGUUAUGGUGGAUUGACAAACAGAUGACCAUCAGGGAGAAGAUAUAAUGGGCUGUUCAGGUAUGAAGUAUUGUGUCUUAAGCCCAAAGUAUACUUACAUUUUUUAUUUAUUUUUUAAUGGCUAUGCUAGCACACACGCAUAGUCUUGCAGGCAGCCUUUCAAAGUAUAUUCUGUGCAGUUGCCGCAUGUGCAUCACGACGACAUAUGUGGUAUGUGUAUAUGUUUCUUUGUACAUAUAUUGGUAUUCAUAUACACAUCUAUUGCAAGAUAUUUCCACCUCUGUCAAGAAUAUGUCUUUGUCCAGUGUUUGGGCAAUCCUUCACCACAAGUUAUAACCCAUAUAGGUAUCUUGUUAAUAUUUGAUGCAAGAGCUGUACAAAUACAGGCACUUUGUAAUGUCCUCACACAAACUUUCAUCCAUGUAGGCAUCCAUUGUGACUGCGGCUGUAGCUUGCACAUGUUGUGGUCUCUUCCAUUUAUGUAGUUCUCUCUGACUACAUUGUGAAUCAAUGUCCCUGAGGCAUUGUUGCCAUCUUGUGGACAAAGUCAAAUAAAGUCAAAAUUAUUGCAAAAUAUGAAUUAACAUGACUGAAUGAAGCUGAUUAAUUGUGUUGUAGCAGUGAAAGGAUAGCAUUUAAGCAUC
Long non-coding RNA from Onychostoma macrolepis, 1778 nucleotides. RefSeq lists it as uncharacterized. The record is from RefSeq and is a predicted model, not a curated record. NCBI's taxonomy places the organism in Eukaryota, Metazoa, Chordata, Actinopteri, Cypriniformes, Cyprinidae. The transcript has 6 exons.